This 594-nucleotide long non-coding RNA is filed under the name Cricetulus griseus (Chinese hamster). RNAcentral describes it as "lncRNA (ENSCGRG00015038234.1)". The record is from RNAcentral. Lineage: Eukaryota; Metazoa; Chordata; Mammalia; Rodentia; Cricetidae.
GGAAGGGUCUCUACAGAGAUGAUCCAGGGAGGUAGGGAUGCCCUGAGCUGAAAAGGUAAACCAGAUUCCAUUUCAUGAAGCUGCCCAGUACAGUUCAAAAUAGCAAGGAACAGAGUCAGUGUGGAAGCUAAAUUCACCUCACCCACCACUGAGCCUUCAGUGCACAGGUGAGGAUAACUACCCCUGGACUGACCCAGUAUGGAGUUCAUAUGCAUCACUGGAGAUUCAAGAAGAUGAAGUGCAGACCCUGGCAAUGAAGCAUCCCCCUGAGGCUGUUACAGGUGUUCCUGAGCUCAGGCUGUACAUGUAAGAGGUUGAGUAGCUUCAGAUUCUGUCCUUGCCUGUCUACAUGAGAGGGACCCUAGAGCUCCUGUUUGUCCCCAACAGAAAUGUUGGUGGUGUGUGGGGGUGGGAUGGAGCAGCAGGGUCCAUGGUUGUCACAGGCAUCUCUGUGGAGAUUGGCAACCAAAUCCAAAAAGUCGUGGAGUCCAAAAAGUGAGGCAAAAAAAGUGGGUGCUGCAGGGGUCAAACUUUAUACACAGGGUUGGGUUACAUGAGGGCAAGUAACACACACCCAGGAAGGGCCAGCUGGCC